CAGCCGCCACGGUAAUACAGAGGAUGCAAGCGUUAUCCGGAAUGAUUGGGCGUAAAGCGUCUGUAGGUGGCUUUUCAAGUCCGCCGUCAAAUCCCCGGGCUCAACCCUGGACAGGCAGUGGAAACUACCAAGCUGGAGUACGGUAGGGGCAGAGGGAAUUUCCGGUGGAGCGAUGAAAUGCGUUGAGAUCGGAAAGAACACCAACGGUGAAAGCACUCUGCUGGGCCGACACUGACACUGAGAGACGAAAGUUAGGGGAGAAAAUGGGAUUAGAUACCCCUGUAGUCCCUGUCUCUUAUAC
RNAcentral lists this ribosomal RNA (301 nucleotides) under uncultured bacterium. RNAcentral's name for it is "partial 16S ribosomal RNA". It matches the Rfam family "Bacterial small subunit ribosomal RNA", at positions 509 to 808 of the family's 1533-position model. The record is from RNAcentral.